GGCGGCGUGCCUAAUACAUGCAAGUCGAGCGGAAGAUGGGAGCUUGUCCCUGAUGUUAGCGGCGGACGGGUGAGUAACACGUGGGUAACCUGCCUGUAAGACUGGGAUAACUCCGGGAAACCGGGGCUAAUACCGGAUGGUUGUUUGAACCGCAUGGUUCAAACAUAAAAGGUGGCUUCGGCUACCACUUACAGAUGGACCCGCGGCGCAUUAGCUAGUUGGUGAGGUAACGGCUCACCAAGGCAACGAUGCGUAGCCGACCUGAGAGGGUGAUCGGCCACACUGGGACUGAGACACGGCCCAGACUCCUACGGGAGGCAGCAGUAGGGAAUCUUCCGCAAUGGACGAAAGUCUGACGGAGCAACGCCGCGUGAGUGAUGAAGGUUUUCGGAUCGUAAAGCUCUGUUGUUAGGGAAGAACAAGUACCGUUCGAAUAGGGCGGUACCUUGACGGUACCUAACCAGAAAGCCACGGCUAACUACGUGCCAGCAG
This 492-nucleotide ribosomal RNA is filed under the name Bacillus subtilis. RNAcentral's name for it is "bacterial SSU rRNA". It matches the Rfam family "Bacterial small subunit ribosomal RNA", at positions 38 to 514 of the family's 1533-position model. Lineage: Bacteria; Bacillati; Bacillota; Bacilli; Caryophanales; Bacillaceae. The record is from RNAcentral.